UGCCAGCCGCCGCGGUAAUACGGAGGGUGCAAGCGUUAUCCGGAUUUAUUGGGUUUAAAGGGUGCGCAGGCGGCGCAUUAAGUCAGUGGUGAAAUUAUGAGGCUCAACCUCAUAACUGCCAUUGAUACUGAUGUGCUUGAAUUUAUUCGACGAGAGAGGAAUGCGACAAGUAGCGGUGAAAUGCAUAGAUAUGUCGCAGAACACCGAUAGCGAAGGCAUCUCUCGAGGAUAUAAUUGACGCUGAGGCACGAAAGCGUGGGUAGCAAACAGGAUUAGAUA
Molecule: ribosomal RNA, 279 nt
Filed under: uncultured bacterium
Lineage: Bacteria
Description: partial 16S ribosomal RNA
Rfam family: Bacterial small subunit ribosomal RNA
Source: RNAcentral